GGGUCAUUAGGUUGGUCGUGCCACCGGUACGUACUGGUCUCACUGAUUCCUCCUUCCUGAAGAACCGUAAUGCCAUUAAUUUGGUGUUGCGGGGAAACAGGACUGUUACUUUGAAAAAAUUAGAGUGUUUAAAGCAAUCUAACGCUUGAAUACAUUAGCAUGGAAUAAUGAAAUAGGACGAUCGAUCCUAUUUUGUUGGUUUCUAGGAUUGACGUA
This 216-nucleotide ribosomal RNA is filed under the name Glomeromycotina sp. RNAcentral describes it as "partial small subunit ribosomal RNA". The stretch from base 40 to 216 matches the Rfam family "Eukaryotic small subunit ribosomal RNA", at positions 686 to 864 of the family's 1831-position model. The record is from RNAcentral. Lineage: Eukaryota; Fungi; Glomeromycota.